Molecule: ribosomal RNA, 497 nt
Filed under: uncultured bacterium
Lineage: Bacteria
Description: partial 16S ribosomal RNA
Rfam family: Bacterial small subunit ribosomal RNA
Source: RNAcentral
GACGAACGCUGGCGGCGUGCCUAAUACAUGCAAGUUGAGCGCUGAAGGUUGGUACUUGUACCAACUGGAUGAGCAGCGAACGGGUGAGUAACGCGUGGGGAAUCUGCCUUUGAGCGGGGGACAACAUUUGGAAACGAAUGCUAAUACCGCAUAAAAACUUUAAACACAAGUUUUAAGUUUGAAAGAUGCAAUUGCAUCACUCAAAGAUGAUCCCGCGCUGUAUUAGCUAGUUGGUGAGGUAAAGGCUCACCAAGGCGAUGAUACAUAGCCGACCUGAGAGGGGGAUCGGCCACAUUGGGACUGAGACACGGCCCAAACUCCUACGGGAGGCAGCAGUAGGGAAUCUUCGGCAAUGGACGAAAGUCUGACCGAGCAACGCCGCGUGAGUGAAGAAGGUUUUCGGAUCGUAAAACUCUGUUGGUAGAGAAGAACGUUGGUGAGAGUGGAAAGCUCAUCAAGUGACGGUAACUACCCAGAAAGGGACGGCUAACUACGUG